GCGGGAGUAGUUCAGUGGUAGAGCGUCAGCUUCCCAAGCUGAAAGUCGCGGGUUCGAAUCCCGUCUCCCGCUCCA
This 75-nucleotide transfer RNA is filed under the name Clostridiales bacterium. RNAcentral describes it as "tRNA-Gly". It matches the Rfam family "tRNA". From Rfam's summary of the family: Transfer RNA (tRNA) molecules are approximately 80 nucleotides in length. RNAcentral also lists the same sequence under 1 other name. The record is from RNAcentral. Lineage: Bacteria; Bacillati; Bacillota; Clostridia; Eubacteriales.